Molecule: long non-coding RNA, 849 nt
Organism: Centruroides sculpturatus (bark scorpion)
Lineage: Eukaryota; Metazoa; Arthropoda; Arachnida; Scorpiones; Buthidae
Exons: 3
Source: RefSeq, a predicted model, not a curated record
UCAGAAAUUUAGGCGUAUAGACUUAUUUUUGACAUCGUUACAUAGAUUUACAGGUUGAUAAACUUCAAAGGUUAACUUUUUAUUACUUGGAAAACAGGCUUUAAUAAUGCCCAUGUCCAAAACAUAGACGAUGUUAAACCCACGAUAUCAAUUAUAUGUGAACAUUUUCUUUCUAACAAGUUUUAUCUUUGGCCUCUGCCCGAAAGGACUUCUAGGAAAUUUCUACCAGAUAAUUUGUCUUUGUAAAAAUAUUGUCAACAGAUGUCGCCUCAUAGAUGACAGGUACCUCGACAGGUAUACAUCUACCUGUUCAGGUGUGUCAUUCAUAAGAGACGCAAUUGCUGACUCGAUAUCUUUAUAAACUUAGCACGAAAGAAGAAAAUGGGCAAACUAAUAAUAGUAAUGGCGACCUACAGUGAAAACAGGUAGGAGACGAAAGAGACAGUGUUUUUUUUGUUACGUAAAGUGCGCUAGUAAUAUGAGAUUGCGAUCUUCGAAAGGAAAGAUAUAAUCCACGAAAGAAGUUGGUAUUUUUGUUAUAAAAUGAAGAUUAAAAUACAAAGCGUGUACACCUGUCAGGUAUGAUUCAACAGGUGUAUUUCCGGAAGUAUGACCUUGAAUAUUAGUUAUUUUUAUAAAAAUUUAAAGAAAAAAAUAUAUUAUUUUAUCUAUGAACUAGAAAGUUAUUGACUCAGUACAAAAUGUAUCUUAUUUUUGGUACAUAAUAAACAAAAAAUAUUGUAUUUUAGUACUACUGUUUUGUAUAUAGACAUAAAUAAUAUACAGUACUUCUCUUAUCUGUAUAUAAUACAUGAUAACUAUACAAUAUAUGAAACAUUUAACACAGGC